Molecule: long non-coding RNA, 4026 nt
Organism: Heterocephalus glaber (naked mole-rat)
Lineage: Eukaryota; Metazoa; Chordata; Mammalia; Rodentia; Bathyergidae
Source: Ensembl
UAACAAUAUUGUCAGUACCCACUGGAGGGGCCCUGGGCAAGUUGCUUUUCUUUUUAAAUUACAGGAAAAUGGGAAGGGCUGUUGUUGAAACUACAAUCAGUUGAGAGGUUGGAAGAGCCUAGUGAUUCCAAAUGCAGAAUCAAAAGGAGGCUCUGCUCUGCUAUUUAGAAGUGUGUUUCAAUCUGCUAGCCCAUCUAGCACACUUUCCCAUCUACAGUCUGCAAAUGGUCAAGUCCUUCCAUGCUCCAAGAAGACCAACUUGGAGGAAGCAGGAGUUGUACAGUGGAAGAAAAAUUAGUAGCACAUCAAACCCAGGAUUUCAUUGAUAUCAUCCCUGUGACAAGGCAAAAGUUUUUAAAAAGUGAGUCAACUUGAGGAUAAGAUACAAAAUCAUAAUAAGGUGACAGAAAUCAGUGAUUGAUGGCCACAGAAGGACACGUUGUCAAGCCCCCUUGAUUUCUAUCUGAAGAGAGUUGACUCCCUGGGCUUGGAAUGAUGGCUUCGGCAGCAUGGUCGGCACCAGAAAGAAGCCGCUUUGCAGCUGGGAACUUGCCCUGCCUUCCAAGAAGUUUCUCCCUAAAAGCUUCUCCCUAAAAGCAACACACAUCGAAAGUCCCAGACACAUGCUAGAGCAAGAAUUCAAAGAACUUCAGACCAGUGGCCCGCCUAGUCGUGGUUGUUACCCUGGGAGGAGGAAACCAAGUCCACUGUAAAGUGAGAAUUUUUUAAAUUUCUAAAGACAAAAGAUGGUGGUUCCAAAGUAGAUCCACUAAGACCUCAAUAACAAAAUACAAUUCGUUGGGACUCUGCAUGAGCUCAAAGACAGACAAAGGAGGACUCACUUUUGGUCAGCACCAACGCAAUGCAUCAGGUGCUGUGUUAAGUAUCAUACAUACAUCAUCUCAUUUAAAAUAACUCAACAAAGUAGAAACCAAUAAUAGCACCAUUUGAUAAGUGAAGCAAUGAGUUUCAGAGCUGUUAAGAGACUUUCCCAAGAUCAAAAAGCCAGAACAUGCUAAGGCGGGGUUAGAAACCCAGACUCUUCUCUUUGCCAGAUAUUUGUGUAAUUAUUCCUGGGAUGCCUGGUUGCCCCAUGCAACUGUGACCUCUAGGAGGCCAGCAUGGAAAACACACAUGCACUGGAUGGUUCCAGUGCUCCCUGGACCACCCAUCCCAGAAAGCAGUCAGCCUCCUGCUUCCCAGGCUUUUCUCCCCCUCUUUCUAUCAACUUGUUCCCAAUUUAAUUGAGAAGCCAAUAGCUGCUACCCUCUCCUGGCUCCAUUAGCAGCAAUCUACCCUCAAAGGCCAGGAUCUAUACCACACGAUCCAGUCUCACACUAAUCAAGAUCACUGAGCCAGGGACAGACCCGGAACUCAAGACCAGCCUAUCCAAAGGCUGACAUAUCACUCUGAUGUGCUUUGUUUAAAAAAUGUAAAUAUUCUGAUACUUGUUAAAACAGGAAGACUUUAUUCUAGACUAUUGUAGUAGGGAAGAGAGAUCCGGAUCAACCUUGAAAACAGCAAAAACAGGGAUUCUCCACAAAGCAGAACAAUGAGGGGCCCUGGAAGGAAAAUAACUAAAAGGAGACACCGAGGAUAGGAUUGAUUUUCCUAGAGAAGCAUACACGGCUGGUUUUCCUGAUACAAACUCAGCUGUUCUCAUUGUCAGGGGAGAGCAGGUCCUCACUGUCACCAAGGACGGCUGCUGCUCUCUUUGGGGGAGCUCUGGUCUUCCCUUUGAGUGUUGUUUCCUGGCUCCAGUGCAGAUCCCUGAGCCUGAUGGCAUAGCCCCUUCACCCCACAGGCUCAGACUUUCUAGCUUCCACCACUGGCCUUUGAGCCUUCCUGGAGCCGAUCCUUGAAAGGGACUUGCAUGAGACAUCGCCGUGGGAUCCAGGCCCUCAGCUGGAUUCUUUGGGUCUCUAACAUGUGGACAGAUCUCUUGCACUCUUUUGCAUUUGACUUUCUGGGUGAAUAUUAUAAAAUGAUCAUGUAUUAAUAAUCCUGUGUCCUGUAUUAAAUCUAUUCCCUUGCAAAACCUGACUACAACACACAGAAACUCAAAGAAGAAAGGCACAUCUCGCUGGAGGUGGAGGGAAGAAUAGAUUCACAAGAGUAACACUGAGUUCUCAGAAUUCCCAAUCCCCACAUACCUAAAGACUCACAUUCCCUGCUAUGCAGUGCUCCCAGGCUCACUUUCUCCCAGCACAAAGUCAAAGACAAUUAAAAUCUUUUCCUUUCUAAGAUGCUGCUGUUCUGUGUCACCAAGAGUAUAGCUCAGAGAUCAAAGGAGAGUUCUAACUUCCCUUUUUACUUGCCCCCAAUCAGAAUGUUGGCCCUCAUUCAUUCAACAAGCAUCUGCUGAUCCUUUAUCAUGUGCCAAACACAGUAAUACAUAUUCGGAAUACAGAAACAAAUGGAAAACUGGCUAGCAAAAGUUUGAGAGUAGGCAAUCAAUCACGUGUACACUUAUGCUUGUAAGAUGCACACAGUUUAAGAAUUACAAUUAUUUGUUCUACUUUAUAGCUUCCCAUAAAGCUUUUCUCAUGUCACUGAGGACUUCUGCUUAUUGUAUUUAACAAUUAAAAUGUUUAAAAUUAAAGUAACCAUUUGGAGAAAAGAGUUAUUUUCACCUAAGCUUAAAAUCAAACACUCCCAGGGUCCUCUUAUCUACAACCCACCCUUGGUGGGGGGGCUAGGAGGCCUCCCUCGUUCACCCAGGAAACCAGCAGGAGCCUUCAUUCUGAACAUAAAUGCACCAUGUUCUCAGGUAUCCAAAUUGGCUUUUCUGUGGUGGCAUCACAAGAGAUGAAGGAUGGAAGACCCUGCUGGUUGUAUCCAAGAUGCUGACUUCUGUCCCUCACAUUCCAUAGUGACCGCAGAGACUCUGGGGAGUGUGAGUGCUAGAAAUGGUAACCUGGUCUUUACUUACUCAUACAAGCCAAGGGAGAAAUCCACACACACUCGAGUGUCUCUCAGCUUCCCAGUCUUAAACACAGGUGCACAGCUCUGGCUCAUUCUCCAAAUGCCCUCCAGUUCCCAUGUCGGGGAGUACCCUGACCUGGCAUCCUCAGCCACCUGCUCCAGGCCCACCCGGCCUCUGCUUCCCCCCCACAAUGGACUUGAAUUCAGCCGCCAGCCUUCACUGUUGCUCCCUGUCUGUGGAAGAAGCUGCACUGUAAAAACACCCACUUCGACUCUGCCAACCAUAUCUCCUCCCAUUUCUCUUCCCAACCCCCACAUCCCUCUCUUUCUAAUUACCCCAAAGAGAAAGAAGAUUAAAAACUAAUGCCCUGAGGAUGGGAGUCAGAGACGUCAUUAUUUUGAUUCAAACCCCAGGCAUGGAGAAGCUGAUCUGAGAUUUAGAAGCACCGUAACCUAGGAUGGGUUUUGGAAAACCUUGAUUAAUUGGUCCUCACCUCUAGGCAACCAGUCCCCGGCCCCUUCCCUGGUGCUGUGUGGUAGGGCUUUAAGGAUGAAUGCCACACAGUGUAACACAUGAAACGCAUAAAACACAUUCCAGUAAAAAUGCAACUUGCAAGGGAUGACUUAGAUUCCCACAAAAGGCUCAGCCUAAUUCCUACAUGCCAGAGUCCUGUGAAUUUUAAUUUACUGUGCAGAAUGAUGAGGUCAAGGUGGCUCCUACAGGGAAGCCACAUAAAGAAAGAUCUGGAGACUUUCAUCAACUGAACUUCUGAAGCAGAAAAGCAGACUUCCUUUCAGGAAUAUGUGCAGUAACAGAAGUUUUAGCCAGAAGGAAUUUUAAUGUGACUUUCAGUUAACUAAAAAAAGUAGACCCAAAUGAACCACCAGCAGCCCCUCAGCCCCAUUUUACUCCCCAGAUAUGCCACUUAUAAGGAAUCUUCCCAGUAAAGAAAGGGGAAUAUAUGAUGAAAAAUAACAUAGAUAUCACUUCAUAUUUAAUUGUACACUAAGUGUUGUUUAAAAUACUUCAGGUGCAUAAUACCUCAUAAUCCUCACUAAAGGUUUGGUCAUUAGCUUCCUAAUUUACACCAUGAACAUGCA